GUUGGGUGAUUUCUACCAGCAAUGAGAACCUGACUGCAACAGAAGCUAAAAUUAGAAGGAUAUAGUGAAGAUUAGCAUGGCCCCUGUUCAGGAUUACAUGCAAAUUCAUGAAGUGUUCCAUUUUGUA
This is a small nuclear RNA of Jaculus jaculus (lesser Egyptian jerboa), 127 nucleotides long. Lineage: Eukaryota; Metazoa; Chordata; Mammalia; Rodentia; Dipodidae. The record is from Ensembl.